UACGUAGGGUGCGAGCGUUGUCCGGAAUUAUUGGGCGUAAAGGGCUCGUAGGCGGUUUGUCGCGUCGGGAGUGAAAACUCGGGGCUUAACUCCGAGCCUGCUUCCGAUACGGGCAGACUAGAGGUAUGCAGGGGAGAACGGAAUUCCUGGUGUAGCGGUGAAAUGCGCAGAUAUCAGGAGGAACACCGGUGGCGAAGGCGGUUCUCUGGGCAUUACCUGACGCUGAGGAG
Molecule: ribosomal RNA, 230 nt
Filed under: uncultured microorganism
Description: partial 16S ribosomal RNA
Rfam family: Bacterial small subunit ribosomal RNA
Source: RNAcentral